This 465-nucleotide ribosomal RNA is filed under the name uncultured Klebsiella sp. RNAcentral's name for it is "bacterial SSU rRNA". It matches the Rfam family "Bacterial small subunit ribosomal RNA", at positions 338 to 795 of the family's 1533-position model. The record is from RNAcentral. Lineage: Bacteria; Pseudomonadati; Pseudomonadota; Gammaproteobacteria; Enterobacterales; Enterobacteriaceae.
CCUACGGGUGGCUGCAGUGGGGAAUAUUGCACAAUGGGCGCAAGCCUGAUGCAGCUAUGCCGCGUGUGUGAAGAAGGCCUUCGGGUUGUAAAGCACUUUCAGCGGGGAGGAAGGCGUUAAGGUUAAUAACCUUGGCGAUUGACGUUACCCGCAGAAGAAGCACCGGCUAACUCCGUGCCAGCAGCCGCGGUAAUACGGAGGGUGCAAGCGUUAAUCGGAAUUACUGGGCGUAAAGCGCACGCAGGCGGUCUGUCAAGUCGGAUGUGAAAUCCCCGGGCUCAACCUGGGAACUGCAUUCGAAACUGGCAGGCUAGAGUCUUGUAGAGGGGGGUAGAACUCCAGGUGUAGCGGUGAAAUGCGUAGAGAUCUGGAGGAAUACCGGUGGCGAAGGCGGCCCCCUGGACAAAGACUGACGCUCAGGUGCGAAAGCGUGGGGAGCAAACAGGAUUAGAUACCCGGGUAGUC